Helianthus annuus (common sunflower) is the source of this 268-nucleotide long non-coding RNA. RefSeq lists it as uncharacterized. Lineage: Eukaryota; Viridiplantae; Streptophyta; Magnoliopsida; Asterales; Asteraceae. The transcript is spliced from 3 exons. The record is from RefSeq and is a predicted model, not a curated record.
ACAGGGGGCGACCAACUCACCCACAAACCCUAAUCUUGCAAUUUUCACCAAAUUGAGGGCUCCCAUCUAGUCUAAAUCGAUUUCCAAGCACGAAUUCGUGAUCACCUCGUUGAAGGGGUCAUAAGGUAAAGCAUCCGGAUCGUCAAGUGGACAAGCCAGAAGUGAUACACGUUUGAAGGGCACACUUUGAAGGUGACUAUGGUGAACUUACGGAUGGCGAUAAAGCAAAUGUCCAAGAACCGAACACGAUUUUUGAAGCUUUCGCUAU